UUAAAUUGAAGAGUUUGAUCAUGGCUCAGAUUGAACGCUGGCGGCAGGCCUAACACAUGCAAGUCGAACGGUAACAGGAAUCAGCUUGCUGAUUCGCUGACGAGUGGCGGACGGGUGAGUAAUGUCUGGGAAACUGCCUGAUGGAGGGGGAUAACUACUGGAAACGGUAGCUAAUACCGCAUAACGUCGCAAGACCAAAGAGGGGGACCUUCGGGCCUCUUGCCAUCGGAUGUGCCCAGAUGGGAUUAGCUAGUAGGUGGGGUAACGGCUCACCUAGGCGACGAUCCCUAGCUGGUCUGAGAGGAUGACCAGCCACACUGGAACUGAGACACGGUCCAGACUCCUACGGGAGGCA
RNAcentral lists this ribosomal RNA (355 nucleotides) under Escherichia coli. RNAcentral's name for it is "bacterial SSU rRNA". It matches the Rfam family "Bacterial small subunit ribosomal RNA", at positions 1 to 350 of the family's 1533-position model. The record is from RNAcentral. Lineage: Bacteria; Pseudomonadati; Pseudomonadota; Gammaproteobacteria; Enterobacterales; Enterobacteriaceae.